This 70-nucleotide transfer RNA is filed under the name Marmota monax (woodchuck). RNAcentral describes it as "tRNA.Ala". Lineage: Eukaryota; Metazoa; Chordata; Mammalia; Rodentia; Sciuridae. The record is from RNAcentral.
GUGGUGUAGCUCAGUGGUAGAAUAUGUGCCUAGCAUGUGUAAGGCUCUGGAUUCAAUCCCCAAUACUACA